Long non-coding RNA from Antechinus flavipes (yellow-footed antechinus), 1061 nucleotides. RefSeq lists it as uncharacterized. NCBI's taxonomy places the organism in Eukaryota, Metazoa, Chordata, Mammalia, Dasyuromorphia, Dasyuridae. The transcript has 4 exons. The record is from RefSeq and is a predicted model, not a curated record.
AAAGAGUAUUUGAGAGGAAGUUCACUGAAAUGGAUAAAGCAUUGGCCUUGGAGCGAGGAAGACCUGGAUUCUGCCUCUUGGAUGUUUAAAAGUUGUGUCAUCUUGGAUCUCUGUGACGAUCUCUUGCUCAUCUGUAAAGUGGUGGGCUUGGAUUCAAACUAUUACGGCUGGGCUUCUGUCCUCUCAACUGCAUUCUGGAAAUUUGGAGUGUUGUAUUAUUCCACCAUCUCAGCAGCACCUUUCAGUCCCUCGUGACCUCAUGUUAGAUUCUUCUUUUCAAAUUGCCCCUUCAAAGCUUCUUACUCAGGAAACAUGCGAUUGCCUAAUUUUGCCAAACAAUUAGAAGCAUGCAAACACCACAGGGUCAUAGAUAUUCAUUUACGCUCACUUACACCCAGCUACCAUUAUCUAAGGGCACAUAAAGCCCGAUGAGUUCUGCUUUUGGCCUACUUGCCCAGAAGUUACAAACACAGCAUGAAACACAUGUCAUCCCACCCAAGGGCAUUAUCUAACAAUCAUUACAUAGCUACUUCUGUUUGCAAGAUGACACAAUUUGGCUGUUUAAAUAUUAGACUUCUUAGCUACCAAGAAACGUGCCAAAUAAAUUACUCGACUUAUAUUGCUACAAAACCCAACACCUAAUAAAGCUAACCAGAUGUCCAAAUACAUUCUCUUACAAACUCCUAUACUAGAGAAUAAUGGAAGACAAUCCAUCUCCUCGAAGUAAGAGCGGGGCAGGCACUGUUAGAGAGAAGACAUCAAAGAAUGAUAAAGAUUCCAGAACCAAGUAAACUGCAGGUAAAUCCUCAGAAGAAUGCUCUUUGAGUAUAAUUGAAGCCGAAGAAAAAAAAAGUUUGACUCCGCUGACCCUGGAGGUAGAAGACUCCCCACUGGUCAAAAAGUGUGUGUGAGGAGGACUCUACACAGUGGGAUUCCCUCCCUCCCCAGUUAUCUCACAUCCAACUUUUGUAUUUGUUCUGUCUAUAUUUGCACAUGUGCUUUUUGUAUCUGCAGAACCUUGCCUGACAGAUAGAGGCACUUAAUAAAUGCUUCUUGAGUGA